RNAcentral lists this ribosomal RNA (492 nucleotides) under uncultured bacterium. Its description in RNAcentral is "partial 16S ribosomal RNA". It matches the Rfam family "Bacterial small subunit ribosomal RNA", at positions 29 to 507 of the family's 1533-position model. The record is from RNAcentral.
AGUGAACGCUGGCGGCAUGCCUAACACAUGCAAGUCGAACGGCAGCACAGUAAGAGCUUGCUCUUGCGGGUGGCGAGAGGCGGAUGGGUGACGAAUGCAUCGGUAUCUUCUUUUUCGUGGGGGCUAACGAAGGGGAACUAACGCUAAAACCGCACAUGAUAUAAGAGUGGAAGCAGGACCGCAUCGGAGCUUUCGCGUUUGAGUGUGCCGAUGGCGGAUUAGCUAGUUGGCGGGGUAAAGGCCCACCAAGGCGACGAUCCGUAGCUGGUCUGAGAGGAUGAUCAGCCACACUGGAACUGAGACACGGCCCAGACUCCUACGGGAGGCAGCAGUGGGGAAUAUUGGACAAUGGGCGAAAGCCUGAUCCAGCAAUGCCGCGUGGGUGAAGAAGGCCUUCGGGUUGUAAAGCCCUUUUGUUAGGAAAGAAAAGCUGCGAGAUAAUACCCUCAUGUUCUGACGGUACCCAAAGAAUAAGCACCGGCUAACUACGUG